AGGUUGCCCCCUGAACGUUUAUGGAGAAGUCAGUUGGAGUAGUCCAGGUGUGGACAUUGGUGAUGUAGAGAUGUAUCAUGCAGAUAUCCUUUCAGGGAAGAGCUUGCUGCUCAGCUGCAGGCAAUGCAGUCAGCAGACAGCCUCCAGCUCUCAGCUCCUUCAGGACUUGCCUCAGAUGCCCGAAGUUGUUCCAUCCUAGGUCACAACCUUUCUAGGGAAGCCCACAACUGCUGACUGAAUAAGAGUACACAAAACAAAAAUGUACAGCUCAAUGAAUUAUUAUAAAAUGCAAAAUGAACAACCAGGAAAUCAUGUCCACUACCAGUUACUAAGCCCUGGAUCACCAUCCCUGCCUCAAACUUUGGCCAUCGGGAGCUCCUUUAGUCAAUUCCUGUGUCUCUUUGAUAUAUA
Long non-coding RNA from Diceros bicornis minor, 411 nucleotides. RefSeq lists it as uncharacterized. The record is from RefSeq and is a predicted model, not a curated record. The transcript is spliced from 3 exons. NCBI's taxonomy places the organism in Eukaryota, Metazoa, Chordata, Mammalia, Perissodactyla, Rhinocerotidae.